CAGUACAUGCAGAGUAGAUUUAAGCUAUUACAUGACUGAUUCUAUGGACAUACUGUAAGUAUAUGAAACCAUAUAUUUAUAAUGGUCCUCAUUCUGCGGUUGUGAUACUGUACAUUUACACUGAAAUUGAGAACAGCUGUCACUUUUCUACAAAAGUUGAUAUCUAAUGUGUUCAUUUUGUGGAAUUAUCUGCUGAUAGAAAGAGCUCUCAGUGAAUGUAUAUUAUUUAUGCAUGUAGUGUUUAAGUUUAGAAAGGAGGAAAUGCAAUUUUGUUUAUAAUUUUGCCAUUUCUUUCAUUAUUGCUUUUGUACUCAUAAACUGAAAGGUAACACUGCCACCCUGUGGCUGUGUAUAAAAUAGGUUUAAAAAAAGUGUGAUAAAAAAUUAAUAUGAAACGUGAAUCAAUGGAAGACAGAAAUUAAAGAAGAGUGCAAACCAUGUAAACAUGCAAACACAAACCAAAGCAAAGAAGGUCCUCGCUAUUAUUUGAUCACAUCUUUUUUUAUUUUUAGAAAUAAACUUACUGUUUUCUAAGAAAUACGCUGUCGUUCUGAUGAUGCUGUUUUAUUUGUUGUUUAUUGGUGAUCACAAAGCCGGUACUUCGGUUUCUUGUACAUGCUAAGCUGCUACUCAAUCCUGGCCCUGGAUCUGUAGCACAGCUUUCUAUGCUAUAUCAUGUGUCACAUCUGGAGCAGGAGAAAGGCAUUUUAAUUGUGUUAUCGCGGGAUCAACAAGAUGGAAAUCAAUCUCAGAAAAGAUUGUUCAAAUUUAAGUGUGAUUUCAUCAUGUCUCAUGAGUGUAUUCGAAAAUUUGAAAAACUGGAAAAUUUUAAUUAGUGCUCUUAUAUUGUGACUAUGAACCUGUGUAAAAAUAAUAAAUAGACCAGCUGUAAUCACAUUCUCUUUAGAACUAUAUUUUCUUUUUUCUACCUUUUGCAUUUUUUUCAUUUGCAUAAAAUUCAUGCUCCUUUACUGAACCAUUGCUGUUUUCUGUGUUUGAUGCUGCAAUUAUUGUCAGCUCUUCGUUUCCCGAUCAGAACUGGAGAACUUGAAUCGCUCUCUGCUGGGGUGGAGUGUCAUUAAACAAACACUUUGAAGCUGCAGUGAGUACAGUACCACAGACCACAGUGACACAAAAUAUAUAAAAAGCAAUACUGGACGGAGCACUAGCAGCAGUUGUCAGAAAUGGCAGCAUCUACAGUCUCCAAAGAUUCAGAGGGUAUAUACACUGACCUGGCCUCUCCAUACCAAGAUGUGUACAGCACACUGGGCCAGACCUCACUCAACAGCCCAGGAGCUCAGCACACAG
Molecule: long non-coding RNA, 1308 nt
Organism: Anguilla rostrata (American eel)
Lineage: Eukaryota; Metazoa; Chordata; Actinopteri; Anguilliformes; Anguillidae
Exons: 2
Source: RefSeq, a predicted model, not a curated record